Molecule: non-coding RNA, 468 nt
Filed under: Plasmopara halstedii
Lineage: Eukaryota; Oomycota; Peronosporomycetes; Peronosporales; Peronosporaceae
Description: Eukaryotic large subunit ribosomal RNA
Rfam family: Eukaryotic large subunit ribosomal RNA
Source: Rfam by way of RNAcentral
UACACACAGUAAGCGGAGCUCUUUAAUUCCAGCAUUCGUCAAAAUUUGUGAUUCUUGACUUGGCUAACUGUAAUACGUAUAUUUUGAAAUGUAAUUUGUACCAUAUGAAUGUCACCUGGAUGUACCGAUGACAUGUAAAAAGGUAAAUGGUCAUCAGAUUGGUUGCUGUUUCCUUAGUGCGUUAGACAACUGGCUCAAAUCUGGAGCGGUUAGCAUAAAUUCAACCGUUUGAUCGAAAUGUAGCAUUGUGCGAGCCGGAACCAAUGUUGGCACAAUGCAAUUUCUUCCAAUUAUAGUGAUUGACAAAGUAGGAAAUAUAAGUACGUGCGAGAAAAUGGCGGAACAACUUUUUUCCUGACUAGCCAAAUGCCUCGUCUUCUAACUUGCAAUACGCAUUAAUGGAUAAGUGACAUUUCUACUGACCCAUUUUACUGUCUAGCAGGCUCACAAUCAAGAAAACGAGCAUGG